RNAcentral lists this ribosomal RNA (497 nucleotides) under uncultured bacterium. Its description in RNAcentral is "partial 16S ribosomal RNA". It matches the Rfam family "Bacterial small subunit ribosomal RNA", at positions 28 to 507 of the family's 1533-position model. The record is from RNAcentral.
GAUGAACGCUGGCGGCGUGCCUAAUACAUGCCAGUCGAGCGAACAGACGAGGAGCUUGCUCCUCUGACGUUAGCGGCGGACGGGUGAGUAACACGUGGAUAACCUACCUAUAAGACUGGGAUAACUUCGGGAAACCGGAGCUAAUACCGGAUAAUAUAUUGAACCGCAUGGUUCAAUAGUGAAAGACGGUUUUGCUGUCACUUAUAGAUGGAUCCGCGCCGUAUUAGCUAGUUGGUAAGGUAACGGCUUACCAAGGCAACGAUGCGUAGCCGACCUGAGAGGGUGAUCGGCCACACUGGAACUGAGACACGGUCCAGACUCCUACGGGAGGCAGCAGUAGGGAAUCUUCCGCAAUGGGCGAAAGCCUGACGGAGCAACGCCGCGUGAGUGAUGAAGGUCUUCGGAUCGUAAAACUCUGUUAUUAGGGAAGAACAAAUGUGUAAGUAACUAUGCACGUCUUGACGGUACCUAAUCAGAAAGCCACGGCUAACUACGUG